RNA transcript from Bubalus bubalis (water buffalo), 895 nucleotides. RefSeq lists it as uncharacterized. The transcript has 3 exons. NCBI's taxonomy places the organism in Eukaryota, Metazoa, Chordata, Mammalia, Artiodactyla, Bovidae. The record is from RefSeq and is a predicted model, not a curated record.
CCGGGCGCUAGGCUGGGGCGCGCGCGGGCUGCGCGGUCGCUUUAAGGAGGCACCGGGGCGGGGACCGGCCGAAGCGGCCGGCAGGCCGCGGGCCCAAAGCCGUCAGUCCGGGCGCCGCGGGGCCCGGAGGGCGCGGCGCUGUCUUCUGGUUGGCGCGGGCAUGGAGGAGGUGGCCUGAGGCCGGAGCCAAGCUGGGCUGGAGUGCGCGGCUCCAGCGUAACGGUGUGCGAUCGGGAAGUCGGCGACGAUCCGGACCCCAGUGAGAUGGGCCUGCUCACCACCUAAAAAGCCCCUUUCAUGGUCUGACCAACCAGCAACAUGGCAACGAGUGCAGUCCCCAGCGACAACCUCCCCACGUACAAGCUGGUGGUGGUGGGAGAUGGGGGUGUGGGCAAGAGCGCCCUCACCAUCCAGUUUUUCCAGAAGAUCUUUGUGCCUGACUACGACCCCACCAUCGAAGACUCCUACCUGAAACAUACAGAGAUUGACAAUCAAUGGGCCAUCUUGGACGGUGAGACUUGAUGACAGCCCUGCGUGGGGGUGGGGCGUUAAUACAGAUUAGGGAAAGUUGACAGUCUUCAGCUGGUGUGCUGGUUUCUUCCAUGUUGCCGUUAUGGGGUGGUUGGUGUAAGGCUGUGUGUGUUUUCCAGGGUGAAUUCUGAACAGCUUUGUAGAAACCAAAAUGUGUAUUCAACAAAGAGGCAAGGCUUAGAAUCAUGCCGACUCAGUGAUGUCAUGGUUGUUAUGUCUCUCUGAUCAGAAGCUCUGAUUAACUUUUAUAGAUAUCUCUAGCUGAUUAAGACGUUUCCAGGUGGCGCUAGUGGUAAAGAAUCCAUCUACCAAUGCAGGAGAUGCAAGAGACCCAGUUCGAUCCCUGGGUCAGGAAGGUCCCCUG